Molecule: ribosomal RNA, 2233 nt
Filed under: Staphylococcus aureus
Lineage: Bacteria; Bacillati; Bacillota; Bacilli; Caryophanales; Staphylococcaceae
Description: bacterial LSU rRNA
Rfam family: Bacterial large subunit ribosomal RNA
Source: RNAcentral
GUGAUGGCGUGCCUUUUGUAGAAUGAACCGGCGAGUUACGAUUUGAUGCAAGGUUAAGCAGUAAAUGUGGAGCCGUAGCGAAAGCGAGUCUGAAUAGGGCGUUUAGUAUUUGGUCGUAGACCCGAAACCAGGUGAUCUACCCUUGGUCAGGUUGAAGUUCAGGUAACACUGAAUGGAGGACCGAACCGACUUACGUUGAAAAGUGAGCGGAUGAACUGAGGGUAGCGGAGAAAUUCCAAUCGAACCUGGAGAUAGCUGGUUCUCUCCGAAAUAGCUUUAGGGCUAGCCUCAAGUGAUGAUUAUUGGAGGUAGAGCACUGUUUGGACGAGGGGCCCCUCUCGGGUUACCGAAUUCAGACAAACUCCGAAUGCCAAUUAAUUUAACUUGGGAGUCAGAACAUGGGUGAUAAGGUCCGUGUUCGAAAGGGAAACAGCCCAGACCACCAGCUAAGGUCCCAAAAUAUAUGUUAAGUGGAAAAGGAUGUGGCGUUGCCCAGACAACUAGGAUGUUGGCUUAGAAGCAGCCAUCAUUUAAAGAGUGCGUAAUAGCUCACUAGUCGAGUGACACUGCGCCGAAAAUGUACCGGGGCUAAACAUAUUACCGAAGCUGUGGAUUGUCCUUUGGACAAUGGUAGGAGAGCGUUCUAAGGGCGUUGAAGCAUGAUCGUAAGGACAUGUGGAGCGCUUAGAAGUGAGAAUGCCGGUGUGAGUAGCGAAAGACGGGUGAGAAUCCCGUCCACCGAUUGACUAAGGUUUCCAGAGGAAGGCUCGUCCGCUCUGGGUUAGUCGGGUCCUAAGCUGAGGCCGACAGGCGUAGGCGAUGGAUAACAGGUUGAUAUUCCUGUACCACCUAUAAUCGUUUUAAUCGAUGGGGGGACGCAGUAGGAUAGGCGAAGCGUGCGAUUGGAUUGCACGUCUAAGCAGUAAGGCUGAGUAUUAGGCAAAUCCGGUACUCGUUAAGGCUGAGCUGUGAUGGGGAGAAGACAUUGUGUCUUCGAGUCGUUGAUUUCACACUGCCGAGAAAAGCCUCUAGAUAGAAAAUAGGUGCCCGUACCGCAAACCGACACAGGUAGUCAAGAUGAGAAUUCUAAGGUGAGCGAGCGAACUCUCGUUAAGGAACUCGGCAAAAUGACCCCGUAACUUCGGGAGAAGGGGUGCUCUUUAGGGUUAACGCCCAGAAGAGCCGCAGUGAAUAGGCCCAAGCGACUGUUUAUCAAAAACACAGGUCUCUGCUAAACCGUAAGGUGAUGUAUAGGGGCUGACGCCUGCCCGGUGCUGGAAGGUUAAGAGGAGUGGUUAGCUUCUGCGAAGCUACGAAUCGAAGCCCCAGUAAACGGCGGCCGUAACUAUAACGGUCCUAAGGUAGCGAAAUUCCUUGUCGGGUAAGUUCCGACCCGCACGAAAGGCGUAACGAUUUGGGCACUGUCUCAACGAGAGACUCGGUGAAAUCAUAGUACCUGUGAAGAUGCAGGUUACCCGCGACAGGACGGAAAGACCCCGUGGAGCUUUACUGUAGCCUGAUAUUGAAAUUCGGCACAGCUUGUACAGGAUAGGUAGGAGCCUUUGAAACGUGAGCGCUAGCUUACGUGGAGGCGCUGGUGGGAUACUACCCUAGCUGUGUUGGCUUUCUAACCCGCACCACUUAUCGUGGUGGGAGACAGUGUCAGGCGGGCAGUUUGACUGGGGCGGUCGCCUCCUAAAAGGUAACGGAGGCGCUCAAAGGUUCCCUCAGAAUGGUUGGAAAUCAUUCAUAGAGUGUAAAGGCAUAAGGGAGCUUGACUGCGAGACCUACAAGUCGAGCAGGGUCGAAAGACGGACUUAGUGAUCCGGUGGUUCCGCAUGGAAGGGCCAUCGCUCAACGGAUAAAAGCUACCCCGGGGAUAACAGGCUUAUCUCCCCCAAGAGUUCACAUCGACGGGGAGGUUUGGCACCUCGAUGUCGGCUCAUCGCAUCCUGGGGCUGUAGUCGGUCCCAAGGGUUGGGCUGUUCGCCCAUUAAAGCGGUACGCGAGCUGGGUUCAGAACGUCGUGAGACAGUUCGGUCCCUAUCCGUCGUGGGCGUAGGAAAUUUGAGAGGAGCUGUCCUUAGUACGAGAGGACCGGGAUGGACAUACCUCUGGUGUACCAGUUGUCGUGCCAACGGCAUAGCUGGGUAGCUAUGUGUGGACGGGAUAAGUGCUGAAAGCAUCUAAGCAUGAAGCCCCCCUCAAGAUGAGAUUUCCCAACUUCGGUUAU